AAGUCGUAACAAGGUCAUCGUAGGUGAACCUGCGGUGGGAUCAUUAAAUAAUCUCAACCUUAAGAGCUAUUUUGCUAUGGGUGUGGUUGUUUCUUUAGUGCUUUGGGAAUGUGUGCUUUCUGUUAUGGAUGGCGUGCUUCUUGGAGGACGAGAGAUGACUAUUGCUUGCGGCUAAGCUCUGCUUGUGUGAAUCUUGUAUAUUGCCUGGAGAGGAUAUGUCAUGUAUCUAAUCUGGCAAUGUGAGAAUAGUUUUGGUGGGUGUAUUGCAAUAACACAUAACAUGUGCUGUUACAACCCCCGCCAGCUGUUCUCUCUAACAUAAACACUAUCAAACUAUCAACAACCAUAUAUCACGAGGACUAAACACCCUCAUCAAUUAAUUUACAACUAUCCGUGGUGGAUCACUUGGCUCUU
RNAcentral lists this unclassified non-coding RNA (414 nucleotides) under Coemansia pectinata. Its description in RNAcentral is "partial internal transcribed spacer region". The stretch from base 1 to 46 matches the Rfam family "Eukaryotic small subunit ribosomal RNA", at positions 1786 to 1831 of the family's 1831-position model. The record is from RNAcentral. Lineage: Eukaryota; Fungi; Kickxellomycota; Kickxellomycetes; Kickxellales; Kickxellaceae.